Fukomys damarensis (Damara mole-rat) is the source of this 398-nucleotide long non-coding RNA. RefSeq lists it as uncharacterized. The record is from RefSeq and is a predicted model, not a curated record. The transcript has 3 exons. NCBI's taxonomy places the organism in Eukaryota, Metazoa, Chordata, Mammalia, Rodentia, Bathyergidae.
GUGUGCAAAGCCUGCGAGGGGAGAUGCUUGUAGCGUUGUACAGAGUGAAAUGCUCUCACUAAAGCAGGAGGAGGACAGCUCUCCACAGAACAUAUACAUCUUGCCUGUGUUCUAAGAAAUGACACCUGGCUCCCCGCUGACACCUGGGUCACUUCCUGAUUCAUCAGUGACUGCUUACAAAUUCCAGCUUCCAACAAGCACAAGCCCGUCUGCUGUGAUAUUGUUGGAAGCCAUAUAUUUCCCAGCAAGCUUUGAAUGUCCUUGAAGUUCAUCCUCAUCUCUAAGGUUCGGAAAACAUGCCACACUGCAGUGAACUAUUUGAGAGAAGAGAAACCAUGAUCUAAGAUGAAUAAGAACUCUGAUUUUAUGUUUUGAGGCCUUUUUAUAUCUUUUGUAAG